RNAcentral lists this ribosomal RNA (504 nucleotides) under uncultured bacterium. RNAcentral describes it as "partial 16S ribosomal RNA". It matches the Rfam family "Bacterial small subunit ribosomal RNA", at positions 30 to 523 of the family's 1533-position model. The record is from RNAcentral.
AUUGAACGCUGGCGGCAUGCCUUACACAUGCAAGUCGAACGGCAGCAUGGAGAGCUUGCUCUCUGAUGGCGAGUGGCGAACGGGUGAGUAAUGCAUCGGAACGUACCGUGUAAUGGGGGAUAACGUAGCGAAAGUUACGCUAAUACCGCAUACGACCUGAGGGAGAAAGCAGGGGAUGGCAAGACCUUGCGUUAUACGAGCGGCCGAUGUCAGAUUAGAUAGUUGGUGAGGUAAAGGCUCGCCAAGGCGACGAUCUGUAGCGGGUCUGAGAGGAUGAUCCGCCACACUGGGACUGAGACACGGCCCAGACUCCUACGGGAGGCAGCAGUGGGGAAUUUUGGACAAUGGGGGCAACCCUGAUCCAGCCAUGCCGCGUGAGUGAAGAAGGCCUUCGGGUUGUAAAGCUCUUUCGGCCGGGAAGAAAUCGCACAGGCUAAUACUCUGUGUGGAUGACGGUACCGGCAUAAGAAGCACCGGCUAACUACGUGCCAGCCGCCGCGGUAA